RNAcentral lists this long non-coding RNA (244 nucleotides) under Calidris pugnax (ruff). RNAcentral's name for it is "lncRNA (ENSCPUG00000003822.1)". Lineage: Eukaryota; Metazoa; Chordata; Aves; Charadriiformes; Scolopacidae. The record is from RNAcentral.
CCAGUCUUUCAGGUGGGUUCUUACAUCAUUGUUGUGAAAGCACUCAAUCGCUUGGAGUAACUGGAAGAGGGCUGCACUUUGUGUGGUACCAGAUCUCCUUGACGCCGCUGAGACCCGGGACAUCAGUCUGCAUUUAGAGGUAAGGCCUCCACACAAACUAACUUUGGGAGAAGCUGAUGGACCCGUAUGGCAAAAUGUGCCAUUAUGCCUAAUUAAAAAUUGAUAAGAGCUAAAUUUUUAAAAC